Small nuclear RNA from Prolemur simus (greater bamboo lemur), 116 nucleotides. Its record names the gene U5. It matches the Rfam family "U5 spliceosomal RNA". Rfam says of the family: U5 RNA is a component of both types of known spliceosome. The precise function of this molecule is unknown, though it is known that the 5' loop is required for splice site selection and p220 binding, and that both the 3' stem-loop and the Sm site are important for Sm protein binding and cap methylation. NCBI's taxonomy places the organism in Eukaryota, Metazoa, Chordata, Mammalia, Primates, Lemuridae. The record is from Ensembl.
AUGCGCUGGUUUCUCUUCAAAAUGAAUAAAUCUUUCACCUUUUACUAACGAUUUCCAUGGAGAGGAACAGUUAUGAGUUGGUAACCACAUUUUUUGAGGUCUUGCUCUGGCAAAUC